UUCUUAUCACUUAUUAUAAGUAAAAUCUGCUCCAUGUCUAACAAAUAGCCGCAGAAUUUUGACUGUGCUAAGGUAGCAUAAUCAUUUACCUUUUAAUUAAAGGUCUGUAUGAACGAUUUAACAUUUAAAUUACUUUUUUGUAAAUUUUUAUUAAACUUAAAUUAAAAAUAAAAAUGUUUUUAUAAAAAAAAAAGACGAUAAGACCCUAUUGAACUUUACUAAUGUUUAGCUGGGGAAGCUGACUAAAUAUAAUUUUAAUCAACAGUAAUAAAUAGACUUCUAAUAAAAUUAUCUUUAACAAGUUACCAUAGGGAUAACAGCGUAAUAUAAUUUAAAAGCUCAUAUUUAAAAUUAAGCUUACGACCUCGAUGUUGAAUAAAGAAUCUUCAACCCGCAGUAGUUUUGAAAGAAGGUCUGUUCGACCUUUAAACCUUUACA
RNAcentral lists this ribosomal RNA (438 nucleotides) under Spirembolus erratus. RNAcentral's name for it is "partial 16S ribosomal RNA". It matches the Rfam family "Bacterial large subunit ribosomal RNA", at positions 1833 to 2600 of the family's 2925-position model. Lineage: Eukaryota; Metazoa; Arthropoda; Arachnida; Araneae; Linyphiidae. The record is from RNAcentral.